This 248-nucleotide ribosomal RNA is filed under the name uncultured bacterium. RNAcentral's name for it is "partial 16S ribosomal RNA". It matches the Rfam family "Bacterial small subunit ribosomal RNA", at positions 88 to 339 of the family's 1533-position model. The record is from RNAcentral.
AUGGCGAGUGGCGAACGGGUGAGUAAUGCAUCGGAACGUGCCCAGUCGUGGGGGAUAACGCAGCGAAAGCUGUGCUAAUACCGCAUACGAUCUAUGGAUGAAAGCGGGGGACCGUAAGGCCUCGCGCGAUUGGAGCGGCCGAUAUCAGAUUAGGUAGUUGGUGGGGUAAAAGCCUACCAAGGCUACGAUCAGUAGCUGGUCUGAGAGGACGACCAGCCACACUGGGACUGAGACACGGCCCAGACUCC